AAUAUUAAAGAUAAUGACAUAGGUAAUGGAUGUGGUAACACUAAUAUUCAAAUUUGACUAAGAUAAUCAAAAGUCAAGGGUCUGAACACAUGAGCAGCCUCCUUCUCUAUUAACUCCAACUGCCCUUUGAAGAUGUGCAUGUACACAAUCCAGUCACCUUUCCUAGCCGGACUCGGCAUUGGCAUCACAUACCCGGCAUUGCCGCCCCACGGGAAAUGGUAUGACCCGAAAACCGGCAGUCCCCACCCGAAAUCCACCUUCGAAACAGGAAAUCUUUGCCCCGAUGACACGACAAAAGCGGGCCCUUCUUCACUUCCACUGCUGUAUAUCUUGGCCAAGGCUGGCACCGGUCUAUGAGCCUCAACCCAAUCUAUUAACCCCAAAAAAUGCUCCUUUGUUACAGCACAUUUCAAAAAAUCGUGGACUUCCUCAGCUACCCAGUUCAACGACUUUUCAACUAGGUCUUCCACUUUUUCCUCACCAAAUGGAAUGGAUAGCACAUUUCCAAAGUAUGUAGCCAUAUGUGAGGCUUGGUGACUUUGGUAAUUUCCUCGCUCAUUUAAUCUCGUUCGUCCAUCAACAACAAUGCCCAUUUUGCAUAAUUUUUGGGCACAACCAAUUUUAGUGUCAGAUUUAGCCACCAUCUUCCACAAGAAUGCACAAAACGACUCGAGCUUGGUCCUUUUGAACCCAUUGGAGCUUGCAAGGGCUUGCAGAUUAUCAAGUUGCUCUGCUGUGACGUAGUAAAUGCGACUGAUGAGAUGGUCUUGGUCAACAUCAGUGUCGUUUUUGGGAGGUGGCAGAGCUGUGAUGGGCACGUACAUUUCGUUUAGGGAUGGAUCAAUGUGACCAGGACGACGAGGGUUGAGCAAAGAACGACGAAAAGUUGGUAGCAGAGAGAGUGAUUUCGACUGAGCCAUCUCAGCCCAUGAGACCAGAAACAUGUUGGUCGAGUAGGCGUCUGCUAUGCGAUGAUCAAACGAGCAUGCCACCACCAUUCCUCCACACUUGAGCUCAGUUGCCUGCAAUUCAUUUUGUUUCCAUAAUGUUAGGAUAUUUUGUUAUAACGUAAAUAUGAUUUAAAAUAAGGUUUUGUGUUUGCAAUUAAUGAGUCAAGUUUUUCUCGUGGCAUUCGAUAUAACUAAGGUUCCCAAAGUCAAGUUCUAGCUGGUCCAGAUUUUAUCUAUGUCGACAUAACAUGACCUAUCUAGAGAGACAGUCUGACAGAUACCUGGACAGCCAACACCCCAUGCUUCUUCUUGGGAACCAAUUUGCCCUCUAUGCUCUCAUCGGGGUCAUAAAGGUUAAGGUCCUUAAGCUCAACAUCUGCAAAGGCUUCAAAAAAAUCGACACCACGGUUGUUGCACAAGAUCUCAGGCUCCCCAACAGAGUUUUGCACCACCUCACCUGAGAAGGCAUAGAAAGUGACCAAAGCUUGGGCCAUGGCCUUUCUCAGAACCCCAACCAUAGACCAGAAGCUCAUGCUCUGCUCAUUUUUGUAGCAGAAAAACACCCCCACGUCCACAGGAGGCAGAAGCAAGUCAAGGUUGGAGAGUGGCAGCCAGUGCUCUUGCAAUGGCAAGGCAGCAGCCACCACUUCCUGCUUGAUCAUGGUCACCUUGAACUCUCCUCUCUCCAUGUCUGAUUAUUUGAUUGCUAUAUGGUUUGAUAUUUUUGUGAGCAUAAGGAAGAGAGGGAGGCAAUUUAUAAGCAGCCAAUAGGCUCAAGACGAGGGAAAUUUCUAGCAAGACUAGCUAGCCAACUACUCUCCUAUGCGGACCAAAAAGACAAUAAAAGCCCUCAAAACCUGGAAGAUGUUUUGGUAUUGGACGGCGGAAAAAUGGUCAGAUGACAAAGUAUUUGAGUAUAUUCUUGCAUAAAUGACACUAUUAGACUACCACUGUUUAUUGGUAGCCUGCUCUUGCCUACCACUGUUUAUUGGACUAUUAGAACAAAGUCAAUGUGCUGUAGAUUCUUGCUUUAGGAAAUUGGGCCUCGAGGACUGUGGCGUGUGCCUCGUGUGUGCACGUGUAAGGGUAUAACCUUUUUGGUGAUUCAUGUUGCGGAGUACAUUAUGGGGUCGUUUGGUAUGACGGAUUGUUAUAAACUAGAUUAAAUUUUGGAAUUGUUUUAGAUUAGCUUAGAUUAGACUAAGCUGGAUUAAGUACUGACUACGUUUGGUGCUGCGUCGGACUAAGAAGCUGGAUUAUAAAAAUAGUGAAGACCUAUAUUUGGUGUUGUGUCGGACUAAAAAAAAAAUUUAUAUUUAAAAAAAAUAAUUUUUAAAUAAUUAAAUGUAAGUUUUUUUGCUUUUAGAAUUACCAAAUUGACAUAUACAUUUCUUUUCCUCCAAACCAAAUUGGCAUGUACAUUUCAUAUAUGCAUAUUUCUCAAACUUGGACCAUGACAGCCUAGUUCCUUUCUUUCCUUGUUCAAAGUUUUGACUGUUACCUUCACUUUCCAUCCCUAAGAAUAAUCAACACAAAUAAAAUAAUACCACAAUCAAUAAUUGGAAUUUACAAAGAAAAUAUAACAUUGUUUCAAAGCAUGACUCUUCUCUAGUACAUCACAUAACCUUAAAAACAAAAGGAGAAAUAAAAUCAACAAACAAAUUGAUAAAUUGACUACAAUACCACAAUCAAUACAUUGUUAAGGCUAAAUUAUCAUGCCUGAAAUACAAAUUACAAUCACAUAAAAAAGAAAACACCUUAAGAACUCAAACAUAAAUAACAAGAGUUGGCUAGUUAUUCGCAUUUCCUUGCCACUCAUUAUACAUUUGGAAAGCCAAGUCAUUCCUCCAAGUAGUCCAUUCAUCUGAUGCUCCAAUGGUGCCAACCAUAUCACCUUCUAUCACAUUUUCUGUCUCUUCAAUUUUAUUUAUUAAUAAAAAAACAUUCGUCUUUGAUCCAUAUCUAUUAAUCAAAAAAGAAAAGAAUUAUUGCACUUAAUCAAUCUUACUGAAAGUGAAAUAACCCCAAAUUGAAAACAAAUAGUUUCAUAUGCAAAUAGAAACAUAACAAUUAAUGCAAAGCCAUAAUUAAUACCAUUUGCAAAGUAUGGAAAAUUCACCUCAAAUGGACCAAAAAUUAUCAACAACUGUGCCUAAUAUCACAACAAAUAUGAAGAAAAAAGUUGUAGGAUUAUUUCACAGCUGGCCAAAAGAUGCUGCUGCUGCUGAUUAACACCAUGUUAUUUAUUACAUUUUCUUAUUUGAGAGGCCUAAACCAAUGCCAAAUUGGGAAAGGUUGAGGAGGUUCUUAGUUUAUAUGAGAGAGGGAGAGCUAGUGGGUGGAAACCAGACCCCAUUGCAUUUUCUAUCUUGGGUAAGAUGUUUGGUGAAGUUGGGGACUAUGAUGGCAUUAGGUACGUCUUGCAGGAAAUGGCUGGUAUUGGUGUGCAGCCUAAUUUGGUUGUGUACAAUACUUUGUUAGAGGCAAUGGGCAAGGCUGGAAAGUCUGGUUUAGCAAGAAGCUUAUUACAAGAAAUGGUGGGAUCCGGGAGAGAAAACAUAGGACGCAAAUUGCUUUGUCAAAUGACAGAUACAAUCAAUCACCGACAAUUGCAAACUCCAAAACUACAAAUCUUUCUCCAAAAGAAAAAGAAAAAAAAAGAGCAUGACUUUGCUUUGACAUGGCCAACGAAAAAAGAAGAAAACCAAAGAGGCCUCUAGCUUCAGUUUUAAUGAAGGCGAUUGGAGGUUGAUGAUUACGACAAUAAUUAAUCAUUGAAUUCAAUGGCUUUCUCAAGACUAAUGUCAGUGAAUACAACAGCCUACAACAACAGAAAAUAAGUAUAUGCCUAUACAAACCCAAAUAAAACUAUCACACUAGAAAAAAUACACUCGUGAAUUUUAAAUCCUUCUGCAAAAUAGAUAAUUACUUACGGGAUUCAUAAUUUUGAAUAUCUAACACUUGUUUGAUAACUAGAACAAAAAUUGCAAUUUCUACAGAGCUAAUACAACCAUUUGUAAUAGAUAUUUAGGAAAAUCAUCAGAACUAGAUUACUUUAAAAUGCUACCAACAGAAGCAAAAAUAGUUCACUAUCAAAACCCAACAGAAGCAAGGUAUUGAAACCAACAGGCAAAGGAUAAAUAGAUGCAGUACAAAUUGAAUCACCAAAUCAUCAACCAAGAAAAAAAAUUUGGCAAACUCCAAAACUACAAAUCUUCCUAUGUGUGAUCUUUUAGCACUAAAUCACCAACCAAGAAAAACUGAACCACAAGGAUGCAUCAUCUCACAUGAACCAGUAAGUUCAAUAAACUCAGGAUUCAUGCCAAAAGUCUAGUCUACUUAUGAAUUUCUAGGUUUUCUUAAAUACCUAAUUACAAAUUAAUGGCCAAUUAACAUCAAGUAUAUACAUAUUGCUACAGUAGAUAUGGUAUCUACGAAAAUUAGAGAAGAGAAGAAGAAAAUAACAGAGAAAAGGAAGGAGAGAUUCAAAGGUUUAGGUCAACAUUGUUGAGGACAAUUGCAAAAUUCAAAGAGGUGGAAGAAGGGAAUAAGAGAGGUUCUAAAGGGAAAGAGAAGAAAAACUUGCCUGGGUCAAGAUUCGAAGAAGAUGAGUCGAUGUUGAACGAAGGAGAGGUGGAGUCGUAGAUGCGGAGUCGCGAACCACAUCGAGAGGCGUGUUCAAUAUAGCGAAGGCUUAUUUUGCGAUUUUCAGUGUCUCUGUAUAAGGAGAAUGAGUGAAGGGUAUUUUUUACUAUUGGGCUAUAUAAUCCCGUUUAAAUUAGUCCCCUUUCUAACCAAACAUGGGCUUCAGGUCUAAUUUAGCACAGUCCUAUCUAGUGAGCCCUACCAAACAUGGCCUAUAGAUUUUAUUUCAACAAACCGAACUGUAUGUUUUCAAAUGUUCAUUCAUAUAGUUAGUUAAAUUAAAAAUUAUUAAGACAUUCAAUUGUGAUCAGUAAAAUAGACAAAAACAAGAGUAAUGCUAUUUAGAUACACAAAAUUGACCACCAAAAUUCAAAUUCAAAAUCAAAAUCCUCUGGUUUUGAUUGGGUUCUCUCUUUUUGUAAUUUUGUUGUUUUUCUUGAAUUCGAUCUCUUCUCUAGUAUAUCCAUAUCUCUUCCCUGAUUUUGAAGGGAUAGGUAAAUUUGAUUAGGAAGAAGGGAGUGUUAGAGUAUAUCUAUAUCUCUUCUCUGGUUUUGAUGGGGAUAGGUAAACUUGAUGGAGGAAGAAGGGUGUGCCGGAGACAAAAAAAGUCCAACUUUUUGUUUUGUUUUGUUUUAUUAUUUAUUUUUUAUAAUUUCACUUUUAUCUUUGUUUUUAAUAAUUAUUAAAAAAUAAAGAAAUAAAAAUAAAAUCCACAUAAUAAUAUUCAUUAAUUGACAUGACAUGACCACAUUAGCUGUCACAUAAGGUGGUCAGCUAAUUUGGUCAAUUUUAUGUGUCUAAAUAGCAUUACUCCAAAAACAAUGCUUCAAGAAAACAUUAAAAUAACAACCAUUUAAUUGAGUGAUUAAAUCGAAUUCAAGUGAAUUUUUGCAUAAAUAAUAUAUUUUGAGAAGGAGAAUUCAUUCAUAAAAUCACAGACGUACAAAAAGCAACAUGAUAUAGUGGCCUCGUUAAAACCUUCCUAGGACAACCUUAUGGGACAAAUCCCAGAGAAAGAAAGAGUGCCACACACGUCAUGAACUAAUAUGAGAAAAUACUUAAUGAAUAGACGAUUCGGAUCAUCAUAAUAUAAUGUAUAAUGAAUUCUACAAAGAUUCAUUGUAUUAUAAUGAUGUAGUUGAUCAUUUUUUUUUUUUUGAGGUCCUUUCCUAUUGAAAGGGGCGAUAGCAUAUUAAACUCACACACACAACACGGAUACUAGAACUCGAACCCAAGACGAUGUAGUUGAUCAUUUAUUGAAAUAACAUUUGACACAAGUCCAAAUCAAUAAACCUGUCAAAUAACUUGACCUCGAGCUUUUAGCAGUACGGAAAGGAGAAGCUUCUUUCCAAAUCCAAAGACGGUAUGAAAUUGAAUUGGUUCAUCAGUACAUCCUUAGAGAGUGGGUAGCACUGCACAUGCAUGCAUCCAAAGUAAAAGUAGCCAUUGAUGUUGCUACUUCAUUUUCAUGAAUUUCCACUCCACUAGUUAACCUUGGUGCGUCCAUCAACAAGGCAAUGCCCAUUUUCCAACCAACCAUAAAACAGGUACUAAUUUUUGCUGUAAAAAAAAAAAGGACAGUUGUGAAACAAAUUGGUUCACAUAAUGGGAUAAUUAACAUUGUGAGCAAUUUAAACCGAGAAAACUCUAUUUUGUGCUUUUAUCAACAAGAAUGUGUCUAUUUUUGUAAAUUUUUACAACCGAGAAAACUCUAACAAGAAUAUAAUAAUCAAUGCCGAUAUUUGGCAUUCCCGCAUUGUGUGCUUUUAUCAACAAGAAUGUGUCCAUUUUUGCAUAGUUUUUACAACUGAGAAAACUCCAACAAACACAAGACUAAUCAAAUGUUUAUAGUGAUCAAAUAAGGUCAAACAACAAAGUAUGACAUGUACCUAACACGAGCGGUGCUAAAUUUGUGAUACUAGGAAAAUUAAUGCAUAAAAUUAGGUAACUUAGCAUAGUAAAGGGAUGAUAUUAUUAUUAUUAUUAGGUAUAUUUGAGGGUAAUGUUGCAUAAUUUGGUUUUUAUGUAAUAAUCGAUGCCGAUAUUUGGCAUUCCCGCAUUGUAUGCUUUUAUUAACAAGAAUGUGUCUAUUUUUGCAUAGUUUUUACAACCGAGAAAACUCUAACAAACACAAAACUAAUAAUAUGUUUAUAGUGAUAAAAUAGGAUCAAACAACAAAGCAUACAUGUACCUAACACGAGCGGUGCUAAAAUUAGUCUCCCACAAUACAUCGAAGGUUAGAAUUCGUCCAUUCCAAUACAACUAACCAAGGAUUGAUCUACACUCCAGCCCAUUCCUGCUUUAGUAAAUAGGCUUAAAGUUGCAGUCUAACUUAGGAAUUUUAGAAACCAUUCUACCCCUCUAUACAUAAGUCAACCUAUCACUCUAUAUAAAAAGAAGGCUACCCACUUAGCCAUCUUUACACACAAGGAAUGGAUAAGGAAUCCACUAAGCCCAAAAAAACCAACGAAAAUAAUAGAACAAAAAUCUCCAACCAUCUAACCCAAAAAAAACAAGCCUCCAACUAGGAAGCAAGCCAAGCCAAACUUAAAAAAAAAAAAAAAAAAAAAAAAAAAAAACCUAAAAGCACAAGAGAACCAAAAAAGAAGUGACUCUCUUCCUCUCUAAAAUUGUAUCAACAUAUUUUCAAUGGGUUCUUCAAUCAUAGUAAGUUUGUCUCUUUAUUUUUAUUUAUAUUUAAAUUUAAAUUGUUAUUGUUAAGAUUUAAGAUUUAGGAUUUAUUUGUUAAAUUUUGAGUUUCGCUACACGCGUGAUAGGAAAUUAUUUUUAAAAAAUUGUAAAUCAUGCUACACACAUAAUAGGAAAAAAGUCUCCCGCGCUCCCGGUAGGGGUGGACUAAAUUUUUUGCUUAAAGCAACCCCUAGUAAAAUUCCUGGAUGAGGCCUCGCAACUAACCCUAUCAUUCUUCCACCUACAAACACUACUAUGAAGUCAGAAGAGAGAGAAUCAAUCAAGAGCAGACAAAGGGAUGGGCAAUUUGGAUCUGCCAACAAUGGCUAAUUGGGUGGGCGGUUCAGCCCAGACUAACCAAGGCAAGAAAUUUGGCCCAACCUAUCUGGGCAUAAAUUCAUGCAAAUAAAUAAAGGUUCUUGACCAAAAUAAUAGUAAUAAUAAUAAUUCAAAACACAGCCCCUUCAUUUUAAAAGAAUAAAUAGGUUUUUUUUUUUUUUUUUAAAAAAGAAGGGGUUCAAAGGGUAUAUUAUAAUUUAUUGUCUUGAUUUCAAAACACAACCCCUUCAUUUAUUUUACGUGACAUUUUGUUCUAAUUACAGUCACCAUCAAAGCUCAUAACCUCUCAACAAAUCCAAGAAAAAGAAAAAGAGAAAAAGUCUUAAGUAAAUUUAGAUGAAUACACUGGCAUUUGUAACAUCUUAGUCAUUGAUUUUGAGUGUUGCUUCCGUUAAAAGUAUAAAAGACGGUCAGUUGAAAUGGUAUAAAUAGUUUUAUAUCAACUCAUGAUGUUGCGAGUAUUUGAAUAUAUGACUACUUAAACCAUUCAUACAUGAUAAAAUUCAAUUAUACUAGUAUGUACAUUUCUAUGUAUAGGGUGUUGAUUUUUCCACUCCCCUUUUGUCCACUUACACUGCCUUUCGUUUUUUAAUACUUUUUACUAUAACAUUAUGGGAGUGUGAAGUGGACAAAAGUGAAGUGAGAACAUACAACUUCCAACAAAGGGUAUGUAAGUGGAUAAAAGAGGAGUGAGAAAAUCAACUCCCUAUAUUUAAAGAGUAAUUUCAUUUAAAUGAUGAUAGAUGGUGGAUGAGGCAGAUUGAUGAGAAUGGAGGGGGAAAGAUGAUAGGAAGGGCGAAAGAGAUGAAGGAGAAGGGCAUAAAAGUAGUGGAAUUGGAAAGGUCCCCUACGCCUCUCCCACUUCAUCUUUGUUUUCUACAUCAAGGCUUUAAUUCCACCUCUCUUGGUACAAAGUUCAAGUCUCCCUGUGCUGCAUAAACUGAACCCUUUUGUUUUUUUUAUUUUUGUUUCGUUUUUUUGGUCGAUGCUUUUUUAUUUUAUAAUAUUUUAUUUUAAAUUUAUGUGUCCAUUUAAAAUCUCAAAAUAUAUAGCAAUGUACACUUUCCAACCUACACAUGCAGUUUCAUGGUAAGGUUAAAUUUACAAUAUUUGAACAUCUCUUGCUUUCUGUACAAGAAAUCAAACUGAAGGCUAUACAAUUUCUGGUUACAAAAAGAUCUUUAAAAAAAAUAAAAAAAGACAAUCAAGGCCCGUCGUUACCAUCCUUAAUCAAAUUGCAAAUAUCUUAGCACUCCACCAAACUGCAAGAAAUCCAAUUUCUCAAAGAAUCAGAGUGAAGAAAACAGAAUUGAGAAUUCAGAGUUGCAACUCAAGUAAAAUAUAAAUAUUAUGUCAACAAUGCAAGGAAACUAUUAUGCCAAAAUAGAAAGAAAACAGAAAUAAGAGAAGCUCUGCUUCUCAAGUGACAUUUGGGAUAAGAACAAAACUAUAUAUCUGUGGCCAGUGGCAUCUCAGAAGAAUGAGCAAGCAGCAUGUUGCAUAUACAAGGACAAAUUCAAUGGUUGUGCAUCAACUUGGCUUGUAAUUGAUUUUUGAACAAGUAUCUUGCUAAAAUAUGAAAACUAUGAGAGAAUAUUUGUUUUGUGGGAAUUUUCUGUGUAUUCUUCUUUUUGUAGGAGGUCAUAUUUAUAAUACAACGAAACCUGAAUGGGCAAGUAAAUAAUAAAUUCCUAAAUCUAUUUACAGUAGGAAAUCAGGAUUUAAAGUAAAUCAAUUACAAUUAUAAUAGGAAUUCUUGGUGUGUAAGGAAAGUAAGUCAAUAUCCACAAGUCACACCAACACUCCCCCUCACGUUAGUGCAUAGAUGUCGCCAAUGCCCAACUGAUCCAGUGAAUUGUGGAAUGCUUUACUGGAAAUCGCCUUUGUCAAAAUAUUCGCCAAUUGAUCCUCGGAUUUCACAAAAGGAAACUGAAACACUUUAGCCUCAAGCUUCUGUUUGAUGAAGUGUCGAUCCACCUCAACAUGUUUAGUACGAUCAUGCUGAACCGGAUUCUGUGCAAUGGCUAUAGCAGCCUUGUUGUCACAAAAGAGAUUCAUUGUGGAUGUAGGUUUAUACCCAAGUUCAGCAAGCAACUUUCUUAACCAAAGAAGUUCACAAAUCCCUUUAGUCAUGCCUCUGAACUCGGCUUCUGCACUGGAUAAAGCUACUACAUUCUGUUUCUUGCUCCUCCGUGUCACCAAAUUACCUCCCACGAAUGUGAAGUAACCCGAUGUGGAUUUUCUAUCUGUUACAUUACCUGCCCAAUCUGCAUCUGAAUAACCAUCAAUAUUUAGAUGACCAUAUUUUGAGAACAUAAGUCCUUUUCCAGGUGCAGACUUCAAAUAUCUAAGUAUCCGAAGAACUGCAUUCAUGUGGUCUUCACUUGGAGAGUGCAUAAAUUGACUGACAACGCUCACCGCAUAAGCAAUGUCUGGUCGAGUAUGUGACAAAUAGAUCAAUCUUCCCACUAACCUUUGGUAUCUUUCUUUGUUAGUUGGAACUUGAUCCGGAUAUUCUCCAAGAUGAUGAUUCUGAACAAUAGGAGUGUCCGCAGGUUUACAAUCUAGCAUUCCUGUGUCUGUCAACAAAUCCAAGACAUAUUUUUUUUUGAGAGAGAAAUAUGCCUUGCUGCGAUCGAGCCACCUCAAUUCCCAAGAAAUAUUUGAGUCCACCUAAAUCCUUAAUCUCAAACUCCGUAGCUAGAUAGUCUGGUAGCUGUGAUAUUUCCUGUUUAUCAUUCCCAGUAAUAAUCAUAUCAUCAACAUAGAUUAUUAAUGUUAUUACCUUCCCUUUUCGAUGUUUCAAGAACAGAGUAUGAUCUGAGUUGCACUGUUUGAAACCAUUGUUCUUCAUUGCCAUGGUGAACCGUCCAAACCAUGCACGUGGUGACUGUUUCAAUCCAUACAAUGCUUUUCGUAACCUGCAAACUGUUACAAUCUGAGUAGUAUUAUAUCCAGGAGGAAUGUCCAUGUACACCUCCUCCGUGAGUUCGCCAUGUAGAAAAGCAUUCUUUACAUCAAACUGGUGUAGUGGCCAAUCCAAAUUAGCUUCAAGGGACAAUAAGACUCUGACGGUGUUUAACUUUGCAACUAGAGCAAAAGUUUCUUCAUAGUCUAUACCAUAGGUCUGUGUGUACCUUUUUGCAACAAGUCUUGCCUUGUAUCGCUCGAUAGAUCCAUCUGCAUUGUGUUUUAUAGUAAACACCUAUCUACAUCCGAUAGUCUUUUUUCCUCAGGGUAUAGUCUCCAAUGUCCAAGUUUGAUUUUUCUCAAAAGGUUUCAUCUCCUCUUUUAUAACUUGGACCCACUUAGGAUCUUUCAAUGCUUCAGAGACCUUGGUUGGAAUAUGGAUAGCAGACAACUGAUGUACAAAAGCCUUGAGUGGUUCAGACAGCUUCUCAGUAGAUACAUGAUUUGUAAUUGGAUACUUGGAUGUCUUGCCAAUAUCAGGUGAAUAACGGUUUAGUGGCUUCCCACGAUUUUGCCUGAAAGGUAAUUGAUAUCCAAUAGUUUUAUCAUCUAAAUGCACAAGUCUAGUAGGAGUAGUUACCUCAAGGAUAUUCUCAGGAGAUUGGUUUGUUGGUACUGUUGAGUUAGAGGGGGGUCUUCUUGUUGUUGUUCUGUAUUGUUUGUAGGUGUGAGACUCGGAUCAGAAAUAUCUUCGCAUGGAUCAGGUGGGUCAGGCAAUUGAUCGCUAUGAAUGGGCCAUUGGUCGCUUUUCAACAUAGAGUAAUCUCGUGCUCCAGACUUAGGAUAUCAAUCAUUUCUGUACAGAGGAGAAUUUCUUUAUUUUCCAAGUUGCUCCAAUUCUGCUUUUCACUUCAUAUCUCUCCCUGAAGUGUAGAAUUGGAUGAUGGGUCAUGGAAGAACAACUCAGAUUCCAGAAAGGUCACAUCCAAAGUGAUAUAGGUUCGAUGAGUAGGAGGGUGAUAAUAGCGGUAACCCUUCUGAUGAGUGGCAUAACUCACAAAAACACAACGAAGCGCACAGGGAUCAAGUUUGCUACGUAUAUUUUUGUGGAGAUGAACGAAAGUCACACAUCUAAGGAUUCGGGGUGCGAGUACCAAAAUAGAGGGCAGAGGUCUGUGUUGCGCAAGCACCUGUAAGGGAGUUUUAAAGGUCAAUACACAAGAAGGCAUGCGGUUGAUCAGGUGAACUACGGUGACAAUAGCGUCAUCCCAGUGAUGGCGAGGAACAUGAGUGCCAAUCAGAAGUGCUCGGGCGGUUUCAAGAAGAUGUCGAUUCUUUGGUUCAGCAACACCAUUUUGUUGCGGUGUCUGAGGACAAGUCGUUUCAUGGAUAAUUCCAUGUUGUUGGAAGUAAGUCUGAAAGUCAUGAUUGACAAAUUCUCCACCAUUGUCUGAGCGAAGAAUUUGGAUUUGAGCAUUAAACUGAGUUUUCAUCUAUUUGUGGAAGGACUGAAAACUGAAAAACACUUUGUUUUUAUUCUUCAGCAAAUAAUGUCAUGUCAUCCGUGUACAAUCAUCGAAUGAAUGUGACAAACCAUCGAAUACCAGAAGGAGUAGUGAUAGGCGAAGGUCCCCAAACAUCAGAGUGAAUUAACGUAAAUGGAGUAGUACACUUGUUCGUACUCAACGGGUAGGGCACACCAUGACUUUUGGCCAAAAUACAAGUAUUACAUGUGAAGUCGGAGUCCUUGAAACCUAAGAAUAAAUUUGGUAUAAGAUGCUUCAUAUAACUAAAAGACGGAUGUCCCAAUCGACGGUGCCACAACUAGAUUUGCUUUUGUUUGCUAUCAAAGGGAUGUGUCACACUGUUAGCCACGCCGGGACUGAAGUCAUCGACAUAAUAUAGCCCUUCUUUCUUAGUACCACGACCAAGAAUCUCCUUAGUGUGAAUAUCCUGAAGCAAACAAAAACUCGGGUAAAUAAGUACACAACAAUUCAAUUGUUCAGUAAGCUGACUAACUGGCAACAAUUUAGUGGAUAAAGAUGGAACAAGUAAAGUAUUAGACAGUGUGAGAGAGGAUGAGAGUGUAACAGUGCCAGCCCCUGUCACAGGAUAAGUAACACCAUUGGCAUUUGCAAUACAGGUUCGUCGAGGUUGUGUAGUAUUCAGAAAAUCAUCAGGAUCAAACGUCAUAUGAUCAGUUACACCGGAAUCAAUUAUCCAGCUCCUGGAAUUAAUCUUAUUGGAAGUAUGGAAUCCAUAACUAGUACCAUUACUGGUGCAUUGUCCUAAAUCUGUAAGAGUAGCCCACCAAUCGGGGUAGCCAUGCGAUUUAAAACAAGUCUCACAAGUGUGUCUCGGAUCACCACAAUAUGAGCAAUCUGGUCCACGUGUCGGGGUCGUUAGUCUAAAAGUCAUAAUCUGUGUAGCGGAAGAUGCAUAUGAUUCAGGUUGAGUAGAAAUUUGGAUCGGAAUCUGAGCCUGAGUCGGGGCCGGAGUCGGAGUCGAAAUCGGGAUUGGGGUCUGAAUCAGAGACAAAUUCGGGGUUGGGGCCAUUAUCGAAGUGGGGGUCGGGGUCGUUUUCGAAGUCGGGGUCGGGGUCGUUGUCGUCAUAGUCGGGGUUGGGGUCGGGGUCGUCACAAGAGGAUCCUGAUUCUGGAUUGGGUUCGGGGUCAAAGUUUGUAUAUGUAGGAGCGGAGCCAUCUGGGCACUCAACUUAAUGAUGGUUGGUUGAGAAUGAGAUAAGGAGUCGGUGGUGCUACUUCCAUGAGGGUUGAAAAAAUCAUCAACCCCCAUAGCGACGGCGGGGGUUUGAAACUAGAGUCAGCAAUUCCAAGAUUGCCGCUCUGAUACCAUGCUAAAAUAUGAAAACUAUGAGAGAAUAUUUGUUUGUGAGAAUUUUUUGUGUAUUCUUCUCCUUGUAGGAGGUCAUAUUUAUAAUACAAUGAAACCUGAAUAGGCAAGUAAAUAAUAAAUUCCUAAAUCUAUUUACAGUAGGAAAUCAGGAUUUAAAGUAAAUCAAUUACAAUUAUAAUAGGAAUUCUUGGUGUGUAAGGAAAGUAAGUCAAUAUCCACAAGUCACGCCAACAUAUCUCUACAUGUAUUGAAGCGAUGCUAAUGAGAAUAGUAUUGUUGAGUGCCAAGCAUUUAAAGGCAGCAAGGAAAAGUAGGGAGGGAUAAUAAAAAAUACAUGGCGUUCACAUGAUAAUAACGUCCAAACGUCCAAACAUCCGCAUAGGAAAAUUUUUGUGUACAGUUAUUAUAUUUAUAUAUAUAUCUAUAUAUAUAUAUAUAUGCAAAACCAAGUAAAAGUAGAAAAGAGCAACUUUCUUGAAUUAAUUAUUGCUUGUUUUUUGUUUUGUUUUUUUUUUAAAAGAAGGUCAAAACAUGUAAUUACUCUUUCUUUUUUUCCAAUAAACUAAUUUCUUUGAGCUUAGUGUUAAAAGAUCAUUUUCGGCAUAUGACAAAGAUCACUUUCAGCAUAUGUAUAUCUGGGACUUUUUCCAUUACGAAGUGAAACUGUGCAGAGUCGAUGCGGAGUUCUAUUUGUGACCGUUAGAUUACUUUUACGCUACAGGUUUAAAACUUGACUGAGGAAACUCAUUUUCUCAUCGCGGUAAAUUUCAAAGUUUUUCAGUCUUUCCGUCAUAGCCAAAAUUUCCCGCGCUUACACCUCCAAUCCAUUAACCUCUAUUUCUUUCUUCCACCACAACACCUUCUCUUCAUUGUGCUUUCAUCCCUGGCAAUAUCAUAGCUGCUCCUCUAGGUUAUAAUAUUUUUAUUUCUUCUUUUGAACACCUUCUCUUCCGUGUGCUUUCAUCCCUGGCAAUAUCAUAGCUGCUCCUCCAGGUUAGAAAUUUUUUUAUCUCUUCUUCUUAUUAUUAUUUUUUUGCUUUAUGAUAUAUGGGUAUUUCCAUUUUGUUUAUACAACGUUUUCUGAUUUUCUUAUGGUAUGUGAUUGUUUACUAAAAAGAUUUGGGUUUCGUUGAAAAUCACAAAGGUUGGAAUCGGAAAAACAGAAAGCGAUGGUCUUUGUUUUGUAUAGUUUUGGCUAAGUUAUUCUAUUUUGUUUUUUGGUUGAAAGUUUAUCUAAUUUAGGUUUGAUAUGUACUUACGAGUUUGGCUUUUGGUUUAAGCAUUGCUGCAGUGUUCUUUGCUAUUGUUUACCAAUAUCCCAUUGACCAAUAUUUUUGUUAUUUUUUGCUUUAAUAGAUGAAAAUUUAGAGAUGGAAAGCCCAUAAGGACUCGAGACAUAUGAAUUUAUGGAAGAUAAUAAUGAAAAUAAUUCAGAAUUAGUUUUCAAUCCUCAAGUAGAAAACCAGCAUGUACCAAAAAUUGGUCAAGAGUUUGAAUCACUUGAGGAUGCCUAUAACUUCUAUAACAACUAUGCAAAACAAGCGGGAUUUAGUGUUUGAAGUUAUUGUCAGCAAAGGAGUAAAACUGCUAAUGAGAUCUUAAGAAAAGAAUAUGUGUGCUACAAAGACGGAGUAUAUUCCAAAGAAGUUUCUAAUGGAAGUGAAAGGUGGUGAGGUGUAGUACGAAGUGGGUGUAAGGUUAAGAUUGCGGUUCUGAAGACAAAAGAAGGAACAACACAUCAACAAUUUAGUCUUCUUGAAAUGCAAGCAGAUUGGAUAUACAAAGAAAGAUUUAUAUAACUACAAAAGACAAUUGGAGAGAAAGAUGAAGGGGCAUGAUGCAGAGAUGUUGCGUGAGCAUUUUAUUGUUGAGCAAGCAAAAAAUAAAUCAUUCUUUUUUCUGAUAGAGGCUGACGAUGAUGAUAGGCUUAAACAUUGUUUUUGGGCUGAUCCAACAUCUAAAAGAGCCUAUAAGUUUUAUGUUGAUUGUAUUUGAUACCACAUACAAUACUAAUCGAUAUGGUAUGGUAUUUGCCCCAUUGGUAGGGGUUAAUAACCAUGGUCAAACUAUUCUUUUUGGUUGUGGGUCCUUGUGCAAUGAGACCACUAAGUCUUUUCUUUGGUUGUUUGAGCAAUUUAAGAAAGCUAUGCCUACUGGUCCACCCACAGAUCAGGAUUCAGCCAUGGAAAUGCUAUUUCACAAGCUUUUCCAGGUGUGUUUCAUAGAUAUUGCAUUUGGCACAUUUUGGAUAAAUUUUCUCAAAAGAUAAACACUUGCAUUUUUUAGGAUGAAAAUAGAGAACUUCAAAGUUGUGUGUGGAAAUCAUACACAAAGGAAGAAUUUGAGUCAAAGUGGAUGGAUGUGGUCCACAAAGGUAAACUAAAUGAUGAUGAGUGGCUAUCUUCAAUCUAUAGAAUACGUUCAAGAUGGGUGUCAAUAUAUGUGAAAGAUAUUUUUUUUAGCAGGAAUGUCGAGUAGCCAAUGAGUAGAGGGUGUUCAUGCAUUUUUCAAGCUAUAUAUUUCAUACUACAGUUUAAUAGGACGCUUGCCCAGCAACGUCAUGAAGAGAUAAUUGCUGUUGAUAUUAAUGAGCAGCCUAUGUUGAAUCUCCAUUGAUAAUGGAGAAGCAAAUGACUGUGAUGUCUACAAGUUUCAAAAAGAGUUGUGGAAAUGUUUGGCAUGUGUACUUCAACUUGCGAAAGUGGAUGACAAUUUAUGCUUUUAUAAGGUAAUGGAGAGGAAAAAAGAUGGUAAAGGUGCGAGAAGUCAUGGUUGACAAAGUUGCAAACUAUUCUUCAUGUAUAUGUAAGAAAUUUGAAUUUGAAGAAAUCUUGUGCAGGCAUGUGUUGACAUACAUGAAAAUGAAACAAAUUGAGUAUUUGCCAAAUAAAUAUAUAUUAAAGAGAUGGACAAGAGCUGCAAAAUCUGACGUAGUUGUGGAAGAGGGUGGAGGGGAAAUAACUGAGUGUGGAAGAUUGUCUAAACUUGCUUUUGAGCUUAUUGAUGGUUCCUUGGUAUCUCAAGAGGCAAGUAAAGUUCUACUAGAAAAUAUAUAAUUUCUUAUUUCUUAUGAAGCUGAAAUUUUGUACUUGUAAGUUGUACCCACAACAUCAAUUAUUGUUGUAGCUUAAAUUCCUUUGUCUUGUAAUGGAGUCUUGGGAUCAUCUAUUUCAAUCAUUUCUCUGUUCAUAUCUUUUCCAAACUUUUGAAGAUAUCCUAUAUACAGACUUUGCAAAUCAUCCAAAGAAGGCAUGACUCUUCGAAUCAUAUCAGGAGAUCAUAGUUAGCUUCAGUAUCCCCCAUCUGCAAAUGAAAUAUAGUCAGUAAUUGUAAACAUCAGGUAAAUAACAGAUCACCCAAGGUCAUAUAAAAAAAUCCUACCCAGCACUACAACACCUCACCGAACUGAAAACGAAACAAAAAUGAGCCAAGUUUAUACGAAGACCAAGUAAAAGCCAAACCCAAAUCGGCGGCGAGGAUAUCCCUAUAAAAAGAAAUAGAAAAUCAAUGUAGACAAGAAGGGAAAUGACGUAUUGCAUAUGCAGAGUCACGUAUAGCAAAUGAUGAGAGCAUCGGAUGAAAUCAUAGGGAAGAGAAGGUGUUAUGGUGAAAAAAAUAAAUAGAGCUUAGUGGAUUGGAGGUGUAAGCGCUGGAAAUUUUGGCUCUGACAAAAAGACUGAAAAGUUUUGAUAUUUACCACGAUGUGAAAACGAGUUCUCUCAAUCAAGUUUCAAAUCUACAGCGUAAAAGUAUUCUGACGGCCACAAAUAGAACUCUGCACAGUUGCACUUCGUAACCGAGAAAGUCCUUGUAUAUGUUACCUCCAACGUUAAAAACGUUAUUAACAUUUUGAUUUAUUAGGGAAGUGCAAGGCACUUGGCUAAUUACUUUCGGACGCGCGCAUGCCCUAAAUUGAAAAGGAGCAACUUUCUUCAAUUAAUAAAACAAGUUGGCUUUUGUCCCAAAACAUAAAGAAAGUUAGAUUGAAUGUAAAAACAAGAAGUAAGAAGAAAAAGAAGGAGAAUUUGACAAGUACUUUUCAAAAGCGGAAUCAAAAAUUUUCAUAAGUGCCUCGUUUAUUAUCUGCGAAUGGUUUAGCUGGUUUUUAUUUUUGAAAGUUGCUUAAGCGGAAUGAGCCCUUUUUUUUUUCUUCUUUAAAGCUGUGGAAUGAGUUAAGUUUUACUGAAAUAGAAUAGAAUAAUUUCCACCGAAUAUAGGAUGAACUUCCGUAAAUAUAACAUGAAGUUUCUAUUUUCUAAAAAAAUUUACACUCUAGAAUCUAGAAGGUGGUUUUCAAACGAUCUCAUGCAGGUCAAUGACAAAGGACUAAGGAUUUCGACCAAAAAAAGAAUUAAGGAUUGGCAUAUAUAGGCCUUUCCCAGAGUAGAAAAAGACGCAAUGAAUUGACGACAAGCACAAGGCCUUGACGCAUGUUACUCGCUGACUUGAAUGACUCUUCGCAUAAAGAAAAGUAGACUAUUAGUAUGUUAUUUUGUAGACAUUAUUGGACGCUAAUUUAUAAAUACACAGAAUAAUAUUCUCUCACCAAAUUUAAAUCCAAAACUGCCCGAACAUGCAAACCUCAGCUCAUAGUUGACAAGCUUAAAUUUGAGAAUAUCUUAAUUAAUAUCCUUUUAGUAAUGUACGGAUCCGUUUCACUAUAUUGUUGACAUAAAUUUUCAAUCAUUAGAUUGAAAUGGAUUGAAUGGCUAAGAUUAACUAAAUUAAUUAUAUAUUUUUAAAAUAUAUAUAUUAAAAAUAAUUAUUAAUUGACUUUUUCUUUCUUAUUUCUCUAUUCUCAAUUAUUGUUUGAUCAAAUCUUCCUAUUUCGUCGUUCUCUAUCCUCUACAAUUCUUCAGGUAAUGACUUUUCCAUCAUCCUCCUCUUUCUUCUAAGGCCCCAUUUGGUUCACGGAAUGGAUUUGAGGGGAAAUAAUUUCCCAUGUCAUUUCCCAAAGAAUGAGAAUGAAAGAUUCCUUUCCCAUGUUUAGUAAUGUCGAGAAAAUAACCGGGAGAUUUCACUUUAUUUCCUUUCUCAUGUUUGUUUUGAGUAGGAAUGAAAAAUAAAGUUUGUAUAAUUUUUCAAUUAUACCCAUAUUAAAUCAAAUAAAAAAAAUGCAUUUAAUGAUACGUUGUAAUUAUAAAUUGUUCAUAGGGACAAAAUAGUCAUGAAAAUUGUGCAUUGAAUGUUGGCUCAUUUUUCCAAACUUUCCCAUGAGGAAGGAAAACAAAACCCAAGUUAAGAGGAGGGCUUCACUUUCCCCCCUACUUUCCCAUGUGCCAGGCAACCAUUUCCCAUGUCUGGACUUACCAAACAUGGGAAAGCAAUUGAAUUCCCAUUCCCAAGCCUUCUUUCCUAUGAAUCAAACGGGGCCUAAAGGUAAACUGUCUUUUCCAUAUAUUUUUUAAUAUUAUUAUUAAUCAUAUUGAAUAAAAGCUAAAUCUUGUAAGCCAUUAAGAUGUUAGAAAAAAAAAACAGAGAGAGAGAGAGAGAGAGAGAGAGAGAGAGAGAGAGAGAGAGAGAGAGAGAGAGAGAGAGAGAGAGAGAGAGAGAGAGAGAGAGAGCAACACAGAGUUAGACCAACCAAACCUUAGAGAAGAAAUAUUGCAACAAAUGUGGGCUUUUUCUUUUUUGGUUAAAUACUAAUAUCAUAUUUUCUCUUCAAUAUUGGUAGGCUUAUUGAGACCGUUUUUCUAUGUCGUGGGAGAAUGCUCGGUUGGUGUAGAUGUCAAUGACAAGGGGAAGGUAAUUGUGAGGUUUCCCAGGAUAUUAAUUGAGAAGUGAGAAAAUGAUAAGAAAACAAAAGGAGGAAAGAUAAUUGAGUGAUUUUCAUGAUUAUCAUAACUAAUGAAUAAAAGUGAAAUUUACUUGGCAUUAGAGAUUUAAUUUAAUUUAAGUAAUUAAUGAAAUAUAAUCUCAAUCAUUUAAUUCAUUAUAAUCUAAUGGUUGAAAUUUUGUGUCAAAAAUAUAGUGCCACAGAUCCGCUCCCUAUAUAUGUAUCCCCUUUUAUCUAGGGAUUCCUAAAAUAAUUUUAUUUGAGGGACACCUUUUAGGGUUCUGUACAAUUUUUUUUUCAAUGUUCCAAAAUAUCUAUUUUUCAAGUGUUCAUUCUUAAAUCAUCCUUGCAAAAAAUGAGGCAAAUUGAAAAUUAAGACAUCUAAUUUGGACAAACAAAAUAGACUAACACGGUAAUUCAAGAAAAGACUAUAAUAACAACCAUCUAAUUGAAUGGUUAAAUGAUUUUGGAUUCAAGUGAUGAUUUGCAUAGAUUAUUUUUGUAGGAACAUCUAAAAACUAGACGGUUUUUAUUAUUGAAAUACAAUGUUUAAUGUACCAUGUCCAUACACUAGAAAAAGUCAUGGCCAGCGGUGCUUGGUAACAAUAUCCAAAUUUACUAAAAAAAAUGCAGGUGGCAUAAUAUCCCCACAUUUCCAUUUUAAAAAAGAAAAGAAAAAGAAAAAGCAAGUUUUGUUAGCGAGAUCCUAAACUAAUUAGGACUCUAUUUCUUUCUUUUUGUACAGAUAUUGUAUAAUUAGUAUUUUAUCUUAUUUCCUAGUUUGACCAUACUAGGGUUACAUCCUUGUAUUAAAUACCUCAUUUUGGAGAAUGAAAUACAACAUGAAAAUAUUAUACCCAUAUUGUUUGACUUGGUAUCAUAGCCGAGUUUCUGGUAACCUAUGUAUUGUGCCCACUCGUGUUCUACUGUAUGCCUUAAUUUUUUUAAGGGUUUUCUCUUGUGCCCGUGCCUGUGCCUGUGCCUGUGUCGUGUUUGUCGUAUCUACUUCGCGUUGUGUUUCCACUGCUAUCAUAGGUGAUGAUUCCAAACUUGUGGCGCGUUCUAGUUCUUCUGAAACGAAGUAGAUUGAAUUAAUGGAAAAAAGACAGCUCCGUCUCCAAACUCCGCUACCUAUGUCGAAUGGGAAAAAGAUAACUGCUUCUGUCACAUUCUGGGAUUGGCUCAGUCGUAGCACGAUAUUGUCUGCUUUGGGCCCCCUUUCUGUCAUCACGGUUUUAUUUUUGGGAACUCACGAGCAACUUCCUAGUGGGUCACCCAUCUGCUGUAGCCUCAACUAGCUUAACUUUGGAGUUCCCAUGACUCCGAAGCCAGUGAGCUCCCAAAAGGCCUCAUGCUAGAUGGAGGCGGGCAUGUACAUAUAAGGUACAUCACCCCUUCUCCGUUGGUUGAUGUGGGAUGUUACAAUCCACCCCCCUUAGGAGCUUGACGUCCUCAUCAGCACACUCGCACCACACGACAGAGUGGCUCUGAUACCAAAUUGUUACAUCUCGAGAUCGGCUUCGCCGUAGCACGAUAUUGUCCGUUUUGGGCCCCCCUCUAUGCCAUCACGGUUUUGUUUUUAGGAACUCAAGAGCAACUUCCCAGUGGGUCACUCAUCCUGGGAUUGCUCUAGCCUCAACUCGCUUAACUUUGGAUUUCCCAUGACUUCGAAGCCAAUAAGCUCCCAAAAGGCCCCAUGCUAGAUGGAAGUAGGCAUGUACAUAUAAGGUACAUCACCCCUUCUCCGUUAGUCGAUGUGUGAUGUUACAGCUCGGUGCAGUCAUGGCUUCUCAAUUCCAUGACUAAACCCAUUUGUGCCUUGUUCAAACAUGGUACUACUGCUUUUGAUAUAUGGGAGGCUGCUAGGAAGACCUAUAUUGUGACUCAGAAUAGUUCUCAGUUGUUUCAACUCUGACGGCAGUCCAUACUUACAUGUCAUAAUGGUAAAUCUGUAAAAGUGUUUUAUGAAAAACUCCAUGCGAUAUGACAGGAGAUUAAUUGUCUGCAUCCAAAUGAACUUAGUUGUUCUAUUGAUGUGGCUCGUUAGAAAGAGAUUGAAGUCGAUCGAGUUUGUGAUUUUCUUGGAGGACUUGAUGUGAAACCCUGUAUUUUUAAUAUAUAAUUAUCUUGGUUAAAUAUAUAAAUAUAUAUAUAUAUUGUUUUAUAUACUGCUCUAAUAAAUAUUAAUAUCAUCAUAUUACAUAUAUACUUAUCCUAUUAUAUAUAUGUAUUUGUUUUAAAAUAGAUCUUGUUAAUACGUGUCAAAGUACAAAACCUAUUGAGUAUCAAGGCUAUCAACUCACCAAGAAGAUAAGAAUAGGAUUAGAGGGAUUGGAAGAGUCACAAAAACAUUCUUCCUUAUCUGCAACUACAUUGAUAACUAUUACUUGGACAGUAAGUUUGUAUCAACCGCCGAUAAACCAUUCAAUAGGAAAUCACGUCCUGCCGACUUGGUACUUGUAUAAAUAGGAUGUUUCCUUUGGUUUUGAAAGCAUUUAACAUUGCAUGAAAUUUUUGGAAGAGAUAUAGGACUUGGCUUGUAUUUUCUUAACUUGGAGAAAUGCUUUGGAAUCGAGGUAGGGAUUUCUUGGGAGCCUUUAUGGGGAUUGAUCUAAUUAAAUUUUGUGAGCACUAUAUUAUGCGUGAUAUGAUUAUAUGUUAUUGGUGAUGGCUGGAAUUCUUGGGUUGAUAAAGAAAGUAUGGAAAAGAGGGUAAUGGGAAGGAUCUUUUGUGUAGUUGAGUCUAACUCUUGGCAUGUACCAGGUUUCAGGGAUCCCACAGUACACAUGAUUUUUAUUGGGUGAUUCGGGACUGGUGAAAGGGAGUUAGACAAGAUGACUAACAAAAGGGGAAUUACGGGAUAGUUGAAAUGGGUGUUAGUUCAUAUAAAUGGGCAUUCGGGACCAAGUGGUAUAAGCAUGGUAUGGGACGUGCAGGUCUGCUUGUCCAGUUAUAUGAAUUAACGGGAUUAUAUUUGAAGAGCAUUCAUGCAUUAUUAUUAUUAUUAUUAUUAUUAUUAUUAUUAUUAUUAUUAUUAUUAUUAUUAUUAAUGUGAUAUUUGGUUGUGUGAUUGCAUGUCACUUAAUUUAGUUAUAUCAAUCUACUGUGGUAAGGUCUCAUGUCCCUACUAAGCUGUGGUUGCUCAUCCCUCACCCUAUUUAAUUUUUCAGAUGAAUUAGUGGGCAAGACAAUGACUAAACCAGUUGAGGUUGAAUUAGAUGAGAGUAAUAGAGUUGUAUUUAUUUAUUGUAAAGUUGUAAGAUUUUGGGAGCUAUUUUUAUAAAAGAAGUUUAUUUUAAACCCAUUGUUUCGACUUCUGUAUCUUUUUAUUUUAGUUUUUUUUAUUUUCUCACGUGCCGGGCGUGGGGUUUUCACCUACCCCUAAGUCUGGGGCGUGACACUUAAUCCGUAGUAUAAUGGUGUCUGUGGCAGAAUUCUUGCUCUCAAUCCUGUCUCGCCUCUUCUAGAAGCUUAUGUCAUGGUUAUGGAGGAAAACACUCGUCAGUCUACUAUGCUCGGGGGAGGUGCGAUGGCCCUAAAAAUGGAUCAUGCUUGUAACUGACCGAUCACUCGUCCUGAUACGACCGGUCGCCCGUCAUCUCACAAGCCCGCAUCUUCCAAUGGUUCUUGUCCUUUUGAAGGUCAUCGUAAGUGUCGUCAUUGCAAUGGUGAUCAUUAAUCUGAAAAGUGUUUUCAAGAGCAUGGUUACCCUAAUUAGUUUGCUGACUACAAAACUCGUAUGUAUAGUCCCAAGGCCGCUUGCACUAUGACCCAAGACAAGGCCAAUCCUCAGGCCCCGUCUGCAAAAUUUGUGUUCUUCUGAGACUAUGCCAGGUAUGGACUCCAAUACUCGGAUAAUUGACACUGAUGCUUCUGAUCAUAUGACUUGUGAUAUUAAUCUGUUUGAUGAGUUGUCUCGUACCCUUCAUGACCCCUAUAUUAUUAGUGCUAAUGGUUUACCUUCCCACGUUUCCGGUUAAAGUACCAUCCACCUUACCCUUUCUUUACCCUUAUCUCAUGCACUCUUGGUUCCAAAUAUUUGUUACAAUUUAUUAUCUAUUGGUCAUUUGCUUGACACAUUUAAUGCGUCUACUACUUUCUAUCAUACCCAUUUCUCUUUUUAAAAUCUUAAAACUCACGAGAUGAUUGGAGUUAGUAAAUAAAUAGGGAGGUUGUAUUACAUAACGUUACCAGCUGCAGCAGUUCGUGAUUGUAUUGCUAAUAAAGUUCAUAUGCAUGCAUGCUUUUGAUACAAACAAGACAUACAUAUAUAUAUAUAUAUAUAUAUAUACAUAUGGUUACAACAAUCAUGCUAUUAUUAAAGAUAAUGGCAUAGUUCAUGGAAGUGGUAACACUAAUAUUCAAAUUUGACUAAGAUAAUCAAAGGUCAAGCGUCUAAACACGUGAGCAGCCGCCUUCUCUAUCAACUCCAACUGCCCUUUGAAGAUGUGCAUGUACACAAUCCAGUCACCUUUCCUAGCCGGACUCGGCAUUGGCAUCACAUACCCGGCAUUGCCGCCCCACGGGAAAUGGUACGACCCGAAAACCGGCAGUCCCCACCCGAAAUCCACCUCCGAAACAGGAAAUCUUUGCC
Molecule: long non-coding RNA, 23761 nt
Filed under: Prunus persica (peach)
Lineage: Eukaryota; Viridiplantae; Streptophyta; Magnoliopsida; Rosales; Rosaceae
Description: long non-coding RNA (PPER_LNC002918)
Source: RNAcentral